CACUACCAAUACGUAAGCGUGCAUGUACGCGUACAUAUCAGUGUUUAUAAACACCUGGAUAAUUAUAUAUAACUGAUAGCAAGCAACUAUAUACAUACUCUUAUAAACAUAUUAGUAUAUACAUAUCGUAUAUACACACAUAUCAGUCCAUAUAUAACAUACAAAUAUUUGUAGUAUAUAAAUCUGAGUGUGAGUGUAUGUGGUGUAAGUGUUAGUGUCAGCGUGUGUGAGUGUGAGUGUGUAAGUGUGAGUGUGAAUUAACGUGAGUGUGUGUAAUAUAUAAAUCAGUGUACCUAUACGUUAAUAACUGUAUAAACUGAUAAUAAGUGUAUAUAUGAUCAUAUACAUCAAUGUGUAUACACACAUAACAGUAUGUACACAUCGUAUAUAGACAGACGUCACACACACAUCAAUAAACGUGUUCCACACUAAUAACUGUAAAAAUAGCUAAUAACUAAGGUAUUAUAUGGUUAUAUGCAUCAAUAUAUAAAAAUACUGAAAACAAUGGUAUAUAAUGUUAUAUAUUAAUACAUAGACAAAUUGUGCUAAUAAUUAUAUAUACCACUGAUAGAAGUAUAUUCAUGGUCUUAUAUAUUAAUGUAUAUAUAAACUAUUUAUACAUAUGCAAAUGAAUGUGCAUAUAUACAUAUCAAUGUACAUAUACACUAAUAACAAUAUAAACUAUCAUGAAUUUAUAGAAGGGAUUAAACAUAUCAUUCAUCAUUUUUUGGAAUUCAGAUGGAGCAUUUUAUAUACUACAUACACACACAUAUAUAUAUAUAUAUAUAAACUACGCAUAUAUGUGUUGCGUUUGGACUGUUGAGUGUAUGCACAUACGAGAUGUAUAUACUGAUCUAUUUUUGUGUGUAUUUAUACAGUUGCUUACUAUCAGUUAUACAAAAUAAUCAUUUAAUAUAUACACUGAUAUGCGCACGUACAUGUACCCUUACACGUUGAUAAGUGCAUAUAUACUGUGUAUAUGUACACAAAUACAUGCAUUUUUUAUACAUUAUUAUAUAUGUCCAAAGAGACACUUAUUAGCAGUUUAUAUAUAUAGUGUGUUUAUAUAUGAUAUGUAUAUACUGAUAGGUUUAUGCAUGUAUAUGUAUACACUUGCUAUCAGUUAUAUAUAUGCUGAUAUGCGCAUACAUAUGUACCGUUACGCAUUUAUAACUUCAUACAUACUUUUCUAUAUACACUGAUAUCUAUGACCAUAUAAAUACUUAUUAUCAGUUUAUACAAUUAUUAGCGUAUAUGUACACUAAUAUGUAUAUACGCACACUCAUAUGCAUAUGUAUAACGUGUUUACAUAUACACUCAUAUAUAAGAUCUUUUAUAUACUUAUUAUCAGUGAUAUAUACAAUUAUCAGCACAAACAUAUCGCAUACAUACAUAUAAGACCAUACAAACACACACAUAUAUGUAGUAUAUAUAUGUGUAUAUAGUACAUAAAUCAGUAUAUAUACACGCUAAUAACUAUAUAGAUUGAUAAUAAGUACAUACACGAUCACAUACAUCAAUG
This 1522-nucleotide long non-coding RNA is filed under the name Amborella trichopoda. Its description in RNAcentral is "long non-coding RNA (ATRI_LNC001006)". Lineage: Eukaryota; Viridiplantae; Streptophyta; Magnoliopsida; Amborellales; Amborellaceae. The record is from RNAcentral.